CACGUAGGGCGCAAGCGUUGUCCGGAAUUAUUGGGCGUAAAGAGCUCGUAGGCGGUCUGUUGCGUCCGCUGUGAAAACCCGGGGCUUAACCCUGGGCUGGCAGUGGAUACGGACAGACUAGAGGUAGGUAGGGGAGAAUGGAAUUCCCGGUGUAGCGGUGAAAUGCGCAGAUAUCAGGAGGAACACCGGUGGCGAAGGCGGGUCUCUGGGCCGAAACUGACGCUGAGGAGCGAAAGCGUGGGGAGCGAACAGG
RNAcentral lists this ribosomal RNA (253 nucleotides) under uncultured bacterium. RNAcentral's name for it is "partial 16S ribosomal RNA". It matches the Rfam family "Bacterial small subunit ribosomal RNA", at positions 524 to 776 of the family's 1533-position model. The record is from RNAcentral.